Arachis ipaensis is the source of this 119-nucleotide non-coding RNA. The record is from RefSeq and is a predicted model, not a curated record. Lineage: Eukaryota; Viridiplantae; Streptophyta; Magnoliopsida; Fabales; Fabaceae.
GGCAGUUCCGUCUGCGUUUUCUCGUAGCAGUUCCGUCUGUGUUUCAUUGUGGCAGUUCCGUCUGUGCUUUCUUCUGACAGUUUCGUCUGCACCCGUUCUAUUAGUUUAUGCAUUUUUUU